Molecule: ribosomal RNA, 766 nt
Filed under: Rhizobium sp. NOE12
Lineage: Bacteria; Pseudomonadati; Pseudomonadota; Alphaproteobacteria; Hyphomicrobiales; Rhizobiaceae
Also listed under: 1 other name
Description: bacterial SSU rRNA
Rfam family: Bacterial small subunit ribosomal RNA
Source: RNAcentral
AGUGAGAGUUUGAUCCUGGCUCAGAGUGAACGCUGGCGGUAGGCCUAACACAUGCAAGUCGAACGGCAGCACAGGAGAGCUUGCUCUCUGGGUGGCGAGUGGCGGACGGGUGAGGAAUACAUCGGAAUCUACUUUUUCGUGGGGGAUAACGUAGGGAAACUUACGCUAAUACCGCAUACGACCUACGGGUGAAAGCAGGGGAUCUUCGGACCUUGCGCGAUUGAAUGAGCCGAUGUCGGAUUAGCUAGUUGGCGGGGUAAAGGCCCACCAAGGCGACGAUCCGUAGCUGGUCUGAGAGGAUGAUCAGCCACACUGGAACUGAGACACGGUCCAGACUCCUACGGGAGGCAGCAGUGGGGAAUAUUGGACAAUGGGCGCAAGCCUGAUCCAGCCAUACCGCGUGGGUGAAGAAGGCCUUCGGGUUGUAAAGCCCUUUUGUUGGGAAAGAAAUCCAGCUGGCUAAUACCCGGUUGGGAUGACGGUACCCAAAGAAUAAGCACCGGCUAACUUCGUGCCAGCAGCCGCGGUAAUACGAAGGGUGCAAGCGUUACUCGGAAUUACUGGGCGUAAAGCGUGCGUAGGUGGUCGUUUAAGUCCGUUGUGAAAGCCCUGGGCUCAACCUGGGAACUGCAGUGGAUACUGGGCGACUAGAAUGUGGUAGAGGGUAGCGGAAUUCCUGGUGUAGCAGUGAAAUGCGUAGAGAUCAGGAGGAACAUCCAUGGCGAAGGCANCUACCUGGACCAACAUUGACACUGAGGCACAAAAG